UGAAACUUCUAGAGACCCCAGAGUAAUCU
RNAcentral lists this non-coding RNA (29 nucleotides) under Mus musculus (house mouse). Lineage: Eukaryota; Metazoa; Chordata; Mammalia; Rodentia; Muridae. The record is from RNAcentral.